Long non-coding RNA from Hemicordylus capensis (graceful crag lizard), 3523 nucleotides. RefSeq lists it as uncharacterized. The transcript has 2 exons. The record is from RefSeq and is a predicted model, not a curated record. NCBI's taxonomy places the organism in Eukaryota, Metazoa, Chordata, Lepidosauria, Squamata, Cordylidae.
AGAGAGUAUGCUGUUGAAUGUUGUGUGAGCUGGAAGACUAGAACACCAGCAGGGCAGAGUUGGGCUAAAACUUCCAGGGAAGGUAGCAGUGAGGAAGUUGGUCCUACUGGAACCUGCUAGGCCUUGAGAGAGAAGAAGGAAAUCACGUUCGCCUGCCAUGUGAACUUGUAAAAACAAAAAAUGAGAGCAGAGAGGAGGGGCUGCUUCCCUCAAUGCUGCAAAUGUAAUUCGACGUGGCUUUGCUCAACUUUUACCCCGCAACAUGAAGCCAUGUGUGAAUACCUCCCGUGGGAAGAGCAGGCGUGUGUUAGAGAUGUGCAUGGAACUGUGGCAGCGAGGCUCGAAGGCGGCAGGUGUGUUGGAGACUUCUGGACAUAUCUGGACAACGGGGCGGCAGGGAGGUACACUGCCGCCCCAAUGGGCUUGCAAGUAAAUGGAUGCCGGUGGGGGGAAAGUGGUGAGAGUGGUAAGUGCAUCCUCCCCCGCUCUUAAAGGUAGAACCACCUCCCCCCUCCACCGUUGAACCAGAAUUGCCAGCUCUGUGCAUAACCCUAGUGUGUGUUCACAUAUUGUCUAGAUUUACAUCAAAGUCACUGCGAGCUAUCGGGGAGCACUCCAUACAUGAUUUGGUUUUUUUAUUGUACAUUGGAGCUUUGCCCGAUUUAUGUCCAGUGUAAAAAACUCCACUUUUUGCAUCAUUAUGGGGGGGGGGGGGAUUCAAAAUAUCCUAUAUGCCCCUUAACUCACAGUACUUCGCUCCUCUUAAUUCCUGCUGUCUGGGAAAGGCCAUGGUUGCCCAUCAGCUUUUGAAAGUGAACUUCCAAUUCCAGGAAAGUCAAAUCCACAAAAGCAAACAAGAACAUGUCCUCAUGAUUUUCCACCUAGCUUCAUGAGUAUGAACAUUCGAAGAUGGCAGUACAUGGCUUUCAGUCACUGCUGGAAGCUAGGAUGCAAACAAAAAUUAUAGCCUUUCUAAAAUUAUUAAGAAGAGAACAAAGAGAGAUAACUACUUUCCCCUCACACAGCACUAGAACUCUGGGUAUUCCAAUAAAAAUGAUGGACACAACAACAAAUGUAGUACAGGCAACAAACGAAAGAACAUAUAAUUGCCUGAAGGAAUCCAUUCACUUCAAGAUGGUGGUUUUUAAAAAUGAUUUUAUCUAUCAUAACUAAUAAUCACUGACUGACUUUCACAAAUUUUUGUAACUCUAAUUCAUUUAUCAGUGGCCAUUCAGCAUGGUAAGGAAAAAUGAACUCUUUAGCACAAUGGCACUCUGACUCAGUCCAGGGGGCACUCAGAGCGCUGUUCCACGGUGAAGAGGAUGGGGCUUGUGCCAGCAGAGUAGUUGAGAACUGCAGCUUAAAACCAUUUAAAGUUUAAUAUACUGUAUACAGCUUUGAAGGUUUUUUUAAUCAAACAUCACUUUAUAUCUAUAAUGCAAAAUUAUGAUCCUGCAACCCAGUGUAAAAGGAACCUGCCCACUGCAAGUUUCUGCCUGCCGCUGAAACUUAUUCUUUCUAAGAAGACUCUGGGCUUAAAUAUUGAGCUUUCUGUAAACAACAGCUCCAGUUUUAUGUUUGUAUGGGAUCCAGAUGCAGCAUUCAGUUUAAAUAGUGCAUGAUGUAUGUUCUGUUGCCCAUUUGUAACAUACCAAAAAGAAACUCUCUAAGCAACAAUCCGGGAGGUAAGCCAAAUCCCAAUUGUCUUGAUUUUCUGCAGGUUUGCUCUUUUCUCUUAACACUAUAGUAAGGUGGAAUCUUUAGUGCGGAUUUCUUUGAUAAACUGGAGAAGGUUCACUGUGUGCAGUGCCUGAUUUACUGGAACAAAUCUGAUGACAUUCCAUUAAAAAGACUUUCAGUUUUGCUUCACAUUAAGAGUCCAACUAGGAAUGUGCCAACUAGGAAUGUGCGAAUCAGUUCAUGUAUCUGGAUGUUCUGCCUCCAGGGCCAGUCUUACCAUGAAACAGUCACUUUGAAAGUAAGAUUCCAGAGGGUCCCAUUAUACUGUGGAACUCUUCUCACGAUCGGUGAGACAAUCUCUGGAGCAGCUUGCGGGGAAAGUGAGUUUCGCCUACCUUCUCCGCAGACAAUUGUGUUUCCUUCCCUGGGUAGCAGAUCCGGGUUCGGGGUGCCGGGACGCACCAACGCGGCCCGCCCCCAGGAGUCCCAAUAAAGCACUGCACGAGUGCACAGUAGAUUACUGGGAUCCCGCUCCCCCUGAGUGUGCCAGCUGUGGCUGCAAGCAGCUACGGCUGACACACGAUUUUAAAAAAUGAGGUUAAGGGAGCUCUCUCGCCUUUACGCUCGUUUAACUCGGUGGCUACUUUGGUGGAUUUGCUGUUGUGUAGCCACCGGGAUUGGUCUCAAGCCCAGUGGUUCACAUGAGCGUGCAAAACCAGGCCGAGCUCCCUUAGCCCAGUUUUGCACACUCGUGUGAAUAGCCUCAGUGACAUCCGUCUUCAGGGUCAGCACUCUUUACUUGUACCUAUGAAAAGAUUAUCUUUGAAGGGGAAAAGACGGUCUUUGAAGGGUGUUACGGUCAGAGGUAUUGGCAUGCCGCUUCCCAUCUCCGCGCCCGAGUGGUGGGGCAGGGUGUGGGGUUGUGCACCCGGCUGAGAGGCAGGCACAGCAAUGGCCAUCUUGGGUCCCCUUCAUGUGGCCAGGGUCUGGCCAAUCAGGAGAGGGGGCCGGGGGAAAGAACUAGCCCGGCAGCCUCCUCGUCAUCAGUCUCUUUGCUGCCGUCAGUCUCUUUGCUGUAUUAAAAAGAUGGGUGUCUACAAUAUUUACCCAAAUAUAAGGUGAGUCUGAAUUUAAGACCAUACCUUAAAAGACAAAGAGUUAAAUACAGGUUAUACCUGUAUUUACCCAAAAGAAAGAGGACUCUGAUUUCAAGCCAACCCCUCUAUAAUUAACAGGAAAGAAGGGGAGGGGGCUUGUCUAGGAUUUGAGUAAGUAUUUUAUAGCCACGGCAAACUAGGAAAACAGCACACACACAAAAGGGAGCUGAUCUAACAUGCAUCGCCUUUGCAAAAUGAAGGGAUAUGAAGCACAAAAUAUCUUGUCACAAUUGCCUAUUUUCAGACUUUGGUUGUUUAAAGCUGAGAUUCAUUCUUGGGACUAAGAUGUGUUUCCUGAAUAAACUAAUUCAUACUUGUUGAACUGCUAUUUUUGAAGGUCCAAGAAAUAAGAAAGAGAAUUGGAUUUUGCACUACUCUGUCUUUCACUGAUGAACAACAGUAAUUAAAUGGCAAGGUGCAACCAACUACAGGUGUUUGGUUGUUUUUUUAAAUAUUACUUUGUAAAGUGAUGAAAGAAAAAGGAAUUUGCCCUUUUGUCAGACAGUGGAAACAGAAUACUGUGCAUGGCUGUAACCAAGGGGGAGAGCAGAUUGUAUUUGUGAGUUGAAUAUAUGACGUACAACAUAAUUUACUUCUGUUUUUAAAUUGCUAAUUCAAUAGCUUCCUUUUUCUUUUUUUAAACAAAGGCAUUAAUUGGAAUCAAAGUAUAAAGGCAUAGAAUAGAA